RNAcentral lists this ribosomal RNA (1178 nucleotides) under uncultured fungus. RNAcentral's name for it is "eukaryotic LSU rRNA". The stretch from base 544 to 1178 matches the Rfam family "Eukaryotic large subunit ribosomal RNA", at positions 1 to 649 of the family's 3401-position model. The record is from RNAcentral. Lineage: Eukaryota; Fungi.
AAGUCGUAACAAGGUUUCCGUAGGUGAACCUGCGGAAGGAUCAUUAAUGAGUUAGGGUCCUCCAGGCCCGACCUCCAACCCUUUGUUUAACUACCAUGUUGCUUUGGCGGGCCCGUCUUUAACCGGACCGUCGGGGGUUUUAAACCCUGGCCAGUGCCCGUCAGUAGCCUACCACAAAUACUUUUUAACCAUGUUAUAUCUGAAAAUAGUUAAAAUAAACUAAAACUUUCAACAACGGAUCUCUUGGUUCUGGCAUCGAUGAAGAACGCAGCGAAAUGCGAUAAGUAAUGCGAAUUGCAGAAUUCAGUGAGUCAUCGAAUCUUUGAACGCACAUUGCGCCCUUUAGUAUUCUGAAGGGCAUGCCUGUUCGAGCGUCAUUAUCACUAAUCAAGCCUGGCUUGCUGUUGGGUCUCUUUGUCGUUCAAACCGACAGGCCCUAAAGAUAACGACGGCGUUAUUUGGACCCUAGAUGCAACGAGCUUUCAUUAGCACGCGUUUAGUCGGACCUUUUAACCCGGUCUUUUUAACCAAUUUUCUUAAGGUUGACCUCGGAUCAGGUAGGAAUACCCGCUGAACUUAAGCAUAUCAAUAAGCGGAGGAAAAGAAACCAACAGGGAUUACCUCAGUAACGGCGAGUGAAGCGGUAAUAGCUCAAAUUUGAAAUCUGGCUCUUUCAGGGUCCGAGUUGUAAUUUGUAGAGGAUGUUUCGGGCACGGCUACGGUUUAAAUUUCUUGGAACAGAAUGUCAUAGAGGGUGAGAGUCCCGUCUUGAACCGAUUGCUUCGUCCAUGUGAAACUCCUUCGACGAGUCGAGUUGUUUGGGAAUGCAGCUCAAAAUGGGUGGUAAAUUUCAUCUAAAGCUAAAUAUUGGCCAGAGACCGAUAGCGCACAAGUAGAGUGAUCGAAAGAUGAAAAGCACUUUGAAAAGAGAGUUAAACAGUAUGUGAAAUUGUUGAAAGGGAAGCGCUUGUAAUCAGACUUGAGCUUAACAGUUCCCCCUUCGUUCUCGUUGGGUUAUUCUGUUUUGUCCAGGCCAACAUCAGUUCGAGUGGUUGGUUAAAGACUUUGGGAAUGUAUCUACCCUCCGGGGUCGACUUAUAGCCCAGAGUGUCAUGCAGCCUACUUGGACUGAGGAACGCGCUUCGGCUCGGAUGUUGGCGUAAUGGUUAUAAGCGACC